GACGAACGCUGGCGGCGUGCCUAAUACAUGCAAGUCGAACGCUUCUUUCCUCCCGAGUGCUUGCACUCAAUUGGAAAGAGGAGUGGCGGACGGGUGAGUAACACGUGGGUAACCUACCCAUCAGAGGGGGAUGACACUUGGAAACAGGUGCUAAUACCGCAUAACAGUUUAUGCCGCAUGGCAUAAGAGUGAAAGGCGCUUUCGGGUGUCGCUGAUGGAUGGACCCGCGGUGCAUUAGCUAGUUGGUGAGGUAACGGCUCACCAAGGCCACGAUGCAUAGCCGACCUGAGAGGGUGAUCGGCCACACUGGGACUGAGACACGGCCCAGACUCCUACGGGAGGCAGCAGUAGGGAAUCUUCGGCAAUGGACGAAAGUCUGACCGAGCAACGCCGCGUGAGUGAAGAAGGUUUUCGGAUCGUAAAACUCUGUUGUUAGAGAAGAACAAGGACGUUAGUAACUGAACGUCCCCUGACGGUAUCUAACCAGAAAGCCACAGCUAACUACGUG
RNAcentral lists this ribosomal RNA (508 nucleotides) under uncultured bacterium. RNAcentral describes it as "partial 16S ribosomal RNA". It matches the Rfam family "Bacterial small subunit ribosomal RNA", at positions 28 to 507 of the family's 1533-position model. The record is from RNAcentral.